This 125-nucleotide ribosomal RNA is filed under the name Propithecus coquereli (Coquerel's sifaka). The record is from RNAcentral. Lineage: Eukaryota; Metazoa; Chordata; Mammalia; Primates; Indriidae.
GUCUACGGCCAUACCACCCUGAACGCGCCUGAUCUCGUCUGAUCUCCGAAGCUAAGCAGGGUCGGGCCUGGUUAGUAAUUGGAUGGGAAAACUGCUGUUGCUUCACCAGACCAGGUAACUAAACU